This 238-nucleotide ribosomal RNA is filed under the name uncultured bacterium. RNAcentral's name for it is "partial 16S ribosomal RNA". It matches the Rfam family "Bacterial small subunit ribosomal RNA", at positions 15 to 236 of the family's 1533-position model. The record is from RNAcentral.
GUUCAUGGCUCAGGACGAACGCUGGCGGCGUGCUUAACACAUGCAAGUCGAACGAGAAUCUAUGGAAAGAGGAUUCGUCCAAUUGAAAUAGAGGACAGUGGCGGACGGGUGAGUAACGCGUGAGGAACCUGCCUUUCAGAGGGGGACAACAGUUGGAAACGACUGCUAAUACCGCAUAACGCGUAGAGGUCGCAUGGCCUUUACGCCAAAGAUUUAUCGCUGAAAGAUGGCCUAGCGU